UACGUAGGUGGCAAGCGUUUGUCCGGAUUUAUUGGGUUUAAAGGGUGCGUAGGCGGCCCUGUAAGUCAGUGGUGAAAUACUCUAGCUUAACUAGAGGGGUGCCAAUGAUACUGCAGGGCUUGAGUACAGAUGAGGUAGGCGGAAUUGACGGUGUAGCGGUGAAAUGCAUAGAUAUCGUCAAGAACACCCAUUGCGAAGGCAGCUCGCUACACUAUUAUUGACACUGAGGCACGAAAGCGUGGGGAUCAAACAGG
Molecule: ribosomal RNA, 254 nt
Filed under: uncultured bacterium
Lineage: Bacteria
Description: partial 16S ribosomal RNA
Rfam family: Bacterial small subunit ribosomal RNA
Source: RNAcentral